AUACGGAGGGUGCAAGCGUUAUUCGGAUUUAUUGGGUUUAAAGGGUGCGCAGGCGGACCUGUCAGUCAGUGGUGAAAUCCCGGGGCUCAACCCCGGAACUGCCAUUGAUACUACAGGUCUUGAAUACGGUUGAAGUAGGCGGAAUGUAGCAUGUAGCGGUGAAAUGCAUAGAUAUGCUACAGAACACCGAUCGCGAAGGCAGCUUACUAAGCCGAUAUUGACGCUCAGGCACGAAAGCGUGGGGAGCGAACAGGAUUAGAUACCCUAGUAGUCC
Molecule: ribosomal RNA, 274 nt
Filed under: uncultured bacterium
Lineage: Bacteria
Description: partial 16S ribosomal RNA
Rfam family: Bacterial small subunit ribosomal RNA
Source: RNAcentral